AAACAAUAAAAAAGUUAAAUUAUUUUCACAAACAGUUGUAUAAUUAAAAUUUAUAUAAUUUACAACUGAUAAAUACCCUGCUAACUGUCACCUGCAUUAUUCAACGACUAAAUCAAACACCUGCUAUACACAAAGGCUGUUUUGAGUCAUACUUAGAAAGCAUCAAUAUGUAUUUGAUAAUAUUUUUUUUAGGAGAGAGAUUGGACCAUCGACCAUAACCAAGAAAAAAAAAAGGCAACUGAGGAAAAU
This 249-nucleotide unclassified non-coding RNA is filed under the name Hevea brasiliensis (rubber tree). Lineage: Eukaryota; Viridiplantae; Streptophyta; Magnoliopsida; Malpighiales; Euphorbiaceae. The record is from RNAcentral.